Leucoraja erinaceus (little skate) is the source of this 1321-nucleotide long non-coding RNA. RefSeq lists it as uncharacterized. The transcript is spliced from 2 exons. The record is from RefSeq and is a predicted model, not a curated record. Lineage: Eukaryota; Metazoa; Chordata; Chondrichthyes; Rajiformes; Rajidae.
UAGGCACAUCGAAGUGCAGGGAAUAGAGGGGUAUGGGUCAUGUGCAGGCCGAUGAGAUCCAUUGAACUUGGCAUCAUGCUCAGCACAAACAUUCUAUGUCUAGGUCUAUAUUCUGAUACAUAUAAAAAGUUUUUGUUCUUAAUAUAAAGAAAAUAUCCCAAAAUACUUAAUAAAAGUAACUGCCGUAAUAAGAAAUCCUACGUUUCAUAAUGUGUAAAAUGCAAAAGCAAACCAACUAAGUGGCAACAAUAUUAAACAAAAGUAAAAAUAAGUCUCAAUACAAUGAAAAUACCAUUUUAGCAAAAUAGUAAAUUAAUUCCAACCUAAGAAGGGAAUAAAAAUUAAUGAUGAGAAAUUCUCCAUUUUAAUAUUUGUUUCAGAAGAGCAGAGGAAAGCUUUCCAAUCACUUUUUGAUGUACAGCAUCUGAAAAGUUCCAUCAUGUGUUUGUACUAAUUGUAUAUUUCACAUUUGCUGCAACAUAUAUGGGAAAUGCAAAAUUAAAUGUCAACAAAAAUUAAAUGGAACAAAAGACAAAACAACCAACAACCAUGAAAGCCAUGGAUAGGAGGAAUUUUAAGGGGUAAGAAAUAAAUGUCAAAAUUGUUUAUUGUUUUAUAUAUAGACCAAAACAGAAAGCACACGGCCAACAUGCUACUUCACGUUCCAAACAUGUAAUGUCAUUGGGCUUUUCUAUGCACAUUUUGAAAUUAAUUUGUUUGCUAACAUAUGUGGGGAGGAUGUUUCCUUGAGUGGGAGAGUUUAGGAUCAGAGGUCAUAGCCUCAGAAUUAAGGAAAGAGAUUUUUAGAAAAGGAUCUUUAGGAAAGAGAUGAGGAGGAAUUUCUUUAGUCAGAGGGUGGUGAAUCUGUGGAAUUCUUUACCACAGAAGUCCAUGGAGACUGUCAAUUGAUAUUUUUAAGGCAGAAAUAGAUAGAUUCUUGACUAGUAUGGGUGUCAGGGGUUAUGGGGAAAAAGCAGGAGAAUGGAGUAAUGCCCCUGUCCCACUUAGGAAAACUGAACGGAAACCUCUGGAGACUUUGCGCCCCACCCAAGGUUUCCUAAGUGGGACAGUGGCAUUAGGAAGGAGAUAUAGAUCAGCCAUGAUUGAAUGGCGGGGUAGACUUGAUGAGCCAACUGGCCAAAUUCUGCUCUUAUCACGUAUGACCUUCAUUGCCAAUGUGCAAGUUCCAUUCAACCAAGCAGAGCAUCCGGAUAAAAGUUUCUAUCCUCUGUUCUUCUCUAGAAAUAAGUCACAUGUUUACUUAAGUCUACUAAACGUGCAGAAAACCAAGAGAGCUCUGGUGGAUUUUUACGUCCUGAAG